Rattus norvegicus (Norway rat) is the source of this 526-nucleotide non-coding RNA. The record is from RefSeq and is a predicted model, not a curated record. Lineage: Eukaryota; Metazoa; Chordata; Mammalia; Rodentia; Muridae.
CGCGUGCUGCCCGCAGACGCUUACUGCCCGGUGCACACAGUGCGAGCGGCCUUUUCUUUAUUAGUGAAGUUUGUGAUAGGCUCUCUUUAAGUUGGCUUUUUUCCCCUUCUGCUUCUAAUAGAUGGUCUUCUAUAAUAAGCAAAUGCCCAGCACUGGGUGAGCUUCAUCUAGGCUGGAAUCUCUGAUCCUCGGGGCUGGGAAGAGGAGGAAGCUGUGAGUCACAAGGAAACCCAGACUCAGAGAUUCCACUCACCUCAACACUCCAAAGGAGAAAUGUAUUUCGAUUCCUGAAUCGUAAAAAAACAAAACUUGUAUCUGAUUCAGCGACAGAACAUGAAGUACUCGGCCACCAAGAAGUGACUCAGGGUAAGAAUGUCCCUUUCCAGCUUGGUGUGGGAAAUCGAUGACAUCAUAGCAAGAGAAGACUCUCGAGAUAGUAAGAACGGGAGUGAAGAGGCCCAGCUGUUGUUUGCAGAAGCCACAGCCAUGUGCGUGGAAUUCACUCUAAACUAAAUGCCCUCUCCUU